RNAcentral lists this ribosomal RNA (253 nucleotides) under uncultured bacterium. RNAcentral describes it as "partial 16S ribosomal RNA". It matches the Rfam family "Bacterial small subunit ribosomal RNA", at positions 524 to 776 of the family's 1533-position model. The record is from RNAcentral.
GACAUAAGGUGCAAGCGUUACUCGGAAUUACUGGGCUUAAAGCGUCUGUAGGUGUCCUUCCACGUCUGGCUUUAAAUCGCAGGGCUUAACCCCGCGCUUGAGCUGGAAACGAGAGGGAUCGAGUUAUUCAGAGGCAUCUGGAAUGUCGUGUGUAGGGGUAAAAUCCGUAGAUACACGAUGGAACGCCAAAAGCGAAGGCAGCUCUCUGGGUCCCUACCGACGCUGGGGUGCGAAAGCAUGGGGAGCGAACAGG